Molecule: ribosomal RNA, 462 nt
Filed under: uncultured bacterium
Lineage: Bacteria
Description: bacterial SSU rRNA
Rfam family: Bacterial small subunit ribosomal RNA
Source: RNAcentral
UCGAACGCUGGCGGUGUGUCUAAGGCAUGCAAGUCGAACGAACUUCAUUUCUUCGGAAAUAAAGUUAGUGGCAAACGGGAGAGGAACACAUUGGUGAUUCACCCUGCACUCGCGAAUAGCCCGGAGAAAUCCGGAGUAAUACGCGAUAAGAUGAGGGGACGCAAGUCAUUCUCAUUGAAAGUUUUUUCGGUGCAGGAGAAGCCUAUGUUUUAUCAGCUAGUUGGUGAGGUAAUGGCUCACCAAGGCUAUGACGAAUACCGGGCGUGAGAGCGUGGCCCGGCUCACUGGGACUGAGACACGGCCCAGACACCUACGGGUGGCUGCAGUCAAGAAUAUUCCGCAAUGCCCGAAAGGGUGACGGAGCGACACCGCGUGUCGGAUGAAGGCCUUCGGGUCGUAAACGACUGUUCUGUGGGACGAAACAAUGACGGUACCACAGGAGAAAGAGGUUGCUAACUCUGU